CAAACAUCAUGGGGAAGAUAUGCUCCACUACAGGGGUUUGUGAUAAAGGAUUGCUAAUCGUUGUGUAACUACUGUCCUUCCCAAGAGUCUAUAUUACUAUUUUUAAAGCAAGACUUAUUCUUAAAGUAGGACUGCUUUUGUUCUUAAGAUAUCAGGAUGUCAAAACAUUUCCUGCAUCUGUUAAGUUCUGGGUCUGUUUCUGUUCCCUUAACAGUAAACAUCCUGUGACUAAGAAUGCCUGGCCUCCUGGGAAUACAGCCCAGCAGGUCUCAGCCUCAUUUUACCCAGCCCCUAUUCAAGAUGGAGUUGCUAUUCAAGAUGGAGUCGCUCUGGUUCACACACCUGUGGCCACAAAAGAAAGAUUGGAUGACUAUAUAAGUGAUCAACCAACCAAACAAAAGAGAGGGAUCCACCAUGAGGAGUGUGUCCAGAGAGGAGCUGCUCUCCCUUUAGACUAUGCCCAAGAUAAACACAUAUGGAGCAGACCUGAUCCCAACCCACAGCCUGCAGCCAUGCCCAGCAGAGCCCAGCCUGGAUCCGCCAAGUCGUGCUUGACCUAUGGACCUGAAUGUAGGAAUAAGUACUUAUUGUUAAUAUACAUGAAUGUAAGAAUUACUACCACUGAGUUGGGUUUGUGACAACUGACAAAUUACUGAGCUUUCAAAUUGUGCUUCACAGAUACCAAGGGCAGUAGUUAAAAAAAAAAAUCCUCUUCUCAAACCCAGAGUGCAUUCAUUCAUUUAUUAAUUAAUUAAUUCUCUUAGUUAUUCAACACAGUUUUUGAGCCCUCAGAUGUUAGGCAUUGUUGUAGGUGCUGGGGAUAUGGAAUUUAAUGAGGCAGCCAUUCAUGGUUCCUGCCUUCAUGGUAUGACCAUUUUGGUAGAGGAGACCAUAAACAGACCAGUAAAUAGAUAAAUAAACAAACAAAUGCAUAGGUUCAACAUAUGCUGUUAUUGAAAUGAGACAAAAGGUGAGCUGAAGUGGGAAUAGGAGUGGCCACUUCAAACUGGGGGUCAAGGAAGGCUUCUCUGAGGAGGGGACAUUUAAGCUGACACUGUAGAAAGAGACAGCCAAAGAAUUUGCUCCAAGAGAGCGUUUCAGGAAGUGGGUAUAAUCAGGGAAAAGACCUUGAAGCAGGGAAGUAUCUGGUUCAGUCAAGGAAGAGAAAGGAGGCAACCAGGCUAGGACACAGAAGAGGAGGAGAGGGGUCUUCUGGUGUGCCUGAGUGCUCCUAUAGAGGUACAGGGCCUCAUGGGAGGAAGGGUCUGAAGUUAACAAAAUAAGCAAAGGAACAUAGGUGAAAGGUUUAAGCCAGGGAGUGAUUACCCUUCAGAUCACUCAGCUGUGAUCUGAUCUUUAAAAAUAUACACUCAGAAAUAGUGACCCAAUAUGACUGUGAUUCUGAACUGCAAAGCAAGGAGACACACCCUCUUGAGGGUGGUUUUCUGUUAUAAAUCUCUGUCUCAGGGGUCCUAAGCAGUGUCCAGCAACGGGGACAGAAGAAUGAGGGCCCACUCAGAGAGGUUCUGCUUCAGUUGCUUUAUACCUGGGCCCUUGCUAAAGUUUUAUUUGAAGAGAGAGUGCUGUGUUAAAUAAAUGAAUAUGAUAAAAUAAAGGAAAAUAGAAAUAACAACAACAACAUGUGAAUUUGUAUCUAGACCAAGCCAAGCCAAGACUCAGAUCUGGGAAACAGGUUCAGAAAGGUGGGGGCCUGGUUCAGAGUCACCCAGCACAUUAAUGCCCAGCUUCUUCUCACAUUUACACAACAGUAACCAUUUACAGUGACUUCACAGUCAGUGUCCUGGUAGGGUAGUUAAUACACUGUCCCUGAAUGAACAGUAUCUCCCUGCAGAGCUGGAAGCUGUGGUAUGUAGAUGCAGCACUGCAUCUCCUAUUUAUCCACACUAGAGAAGCAGCAAGCAGAGGUGGGAGAGGAU
This 1937-nucleotide long non-coding RNA is filed under the name Homo sapiens (human). RNAcentral describes it as "HSALNT0268188". Lineage: Eukaryota; Metazoa; Chordata; Mammalia; Primates; Hominidae. The record is from RNAcentral.